Marasmius oreades (fairy-ring Marasmius) is the source of this 100-nucleotide non-coding RNA. The record is from the annotation of a RefSeq genome assembly. NCBI's taxonomy places the organism in Eukaryota, Fungi, Basidiomycota, Agaricomycetes, Agaricales, Marasmiaceae.
GCUCGCGUAGCUCAGUGGUAGAGCAUUGUACUUAUGGGUUAACAUCAUCUCGCCUAAGCAGGAUAUGCAAGGGUCUCCGGUUCAAUCCCGGGCGUGAGCA